This 851-nucleotide non-coding RNA is filed under the name Homologenus malayensis. The record is from RNAcentral. Lineage: Eukaryota; Metazoa; Arthropoda; Malacostraca; Decapoda; Homolidae.
UUUUUUAUUUUAAAUUUAUAUUUUUAUUUUUUAUGGGAGUUUAUAAGUUAAAAAAAGUUUGAUUCUUGCUUUGGAUUUUAUUUUAUAGUAGAUAUAUACAUGUAAGCUUUAGUUUGAUUAUAUAUUUUAGUUUAAUAUUAAUUUGUGUUUGAAUAUGUUCGCAGUAGGUGGUAUUAAUUAUUAAUUAGAGUUAGAAUUAGCAUUCUAUUUUAGAUCUGAUAAAAAUUUGUGCCAGCAGUCGCGGUAAGACUUGGAGAUCUAGUAAAAUUAUAUUAAUUUUUAGUAAAAAUUAUAUUUUAUAUUUGUUUUUUGUGUUAAAGGGUUAAAUCGGUUUAAUGUAAGUAAAAAUAUGUUGUAAAAGGUUUAGAAGCUAAGAAGUCUAUGGAAUAAACUAGGAUUAGAUACCCUAUUAUACAUAGAUAAAAAUUAUAAAGGUUAAUUAGUAUUAGUUAUUUUCUUAAAAUUGAGAGAAUUUGGCGGUUGUUUAGUCUUGUUAGAGGAACCUGUUUUUUAAACGAUAAACCACGAAGUAUCUUACUUAUGUUUGUUUUUAGUUUGUAUACCGUCAUUAUUAGAUGAUUUUUAUAGAAUAAAUUGUUUAAGAUUAAAUUAGUUUAAUAUAUUAGAUCAAGGUGCAGCUUAUACAUAAGUAAAAAUGGGUUACAAUAAAAUUUAUUUAUAAUGGAUUUAUUUUUAAAUAAGAAUAAUGAAGGAGGAUUUAAUUGUAAUAUAAAGUUAAUAAUUUUAUAUGAUAUUAGCUCUAGAUUAUGUACAUAUCGCCCGUCACUUUCGUUUUUAAAUGAUAUAAGUCGUAACAUAGUAGGUGUAUUGGAAAAUGUAUCUAGUGUAUA